CUCCUAUUAACGUUUUAGGAAGGUGUUAGGAACCUAAAACGUCCGCUAACUUGCGGUUAUCCGGACUAUUUGAAAACAUCUUUUGAUUAACUUCUGAAAAGAUUAAUUUGUUGAAAUAGUGAUUUGAUUUUUGUUUUUAAAAAAAAAGACUUGUGUAAAAUAGAUUUAGGCGACUCAAUAGGGAUUUUAACAAAGUCUCAACAAAACUAAUAAACAAAUAAACACAUAAAAGGGGAAGGGAGGAGAAAGUAAAGGAUUUAGGCCAUUGAGCCCAAAUCAACAAGACCUGUCCUAGUCUAGUUGAGAUUCCGACCCAUUUCACCUGUCCUAAACUAUUUUUUGAGCCUUUGGCUCGAGUUUAGAUCCACCUAUAUUAAAUACAACUUUGGCUUCGAGGCCGAAAUGAAUGAAUAAAUAAAUGACUAAAUGAAUGAAUAAAAAGAAGACUAAUAAAAAUUGAGACUUUUCAAGUCUCUUAAUGACCUCAUCAAUGGGUUUUGACCCAUUUUCCUUCUUCGUCUAUCCUCUAGCACCCGCAUGCCAUGUAGUGGACCUCGGGUUUAAACUUCAAACUUGACUCGAAGGGGUAGACCUCAUUGGCCCAUUACGAAAUGCAAGAGGAGAGGAAUCCAUUUGGACUUGAGACAUUUUUUUUGCAUGCAAAGAAAAGAUAAAGAAAUUAAUAUACGUUCAAGGCAUAAAAGUGACAUAUUUCAAAGCAAAAGAAAAUAUCAAGAACCAAUUUUGAAUGACAAUGAUAAGCACACUUGCACAAGAAUGAGAGUCAACAAAUAAAAUGCAAAGCAAAGACACCCACUUACAUGCCUCAUGAUUUAUGUUCAUACAAGAAUGAAUAAAGGUAAAAGGAAGAAGGUCAUAUUCAAUGAAUUAAUGCAAAAAAAAACAACGUAAGCUUGCGAAAGUAAAGGGAUGAGGCAACAAGGAAAAUAUUCAUGACUUCUAAAAUUGAACAAACAUAGAUACCAAUCCAUACAACCAAAGAAAAUAAAGGUUAACUUUUCAAGCAAGAGAAUCUUUAAAUUUCAAUUAAAGUGACAUUAAUGAAAAUUCAUACAUCUAAAUUACAAUCAAAAUUUUAUGAAAAAAACGUGUAAUGACCUAUGGUUUAUUUUUCUAAGACAUCGUUGAUUCUCCUUUGAUAUUAUGAAUCAAUGAGAGACACGAAUCAAGUCUUUACACUCACAAAGAGCACAUAUAAUAAUCCAAAGGGCGUAAUAAAAUUAGAUAAAGUUUAGCAUUUCUAAAAGUGAAAUAUUGUUUCACAAUCAUACUAUGCAUGACUCGAAAAUAUCUAAAUAAUUCUAUUUAGCCACAAAAAUUCAAACUUUCUCAUCAUUUUGACAAGUUUGAAAACAUGCGAAAAAGAGGAAUGAACAUCGUGGAUGAAAAAUAAAGCUAGCACUUCAUCUCUUCUAUGAAGAUUUUGGAGAUCCCUUAAAAUAAUUAACAAGUAAAUGAAAAAUUCUUGAUUUAAUCAAUUACUAUUUUUAUUAAGGCGAAACAAACAAUAGUAACUAUUUUUUCAAAAUAAAAGAAACAACUUUACAGCUAAAACAAACAUAUCCUCCAACAAUAAAUUUAAACAAGACAUGAGUUUGUCUUUUGAGNNNNNNNNNNNNNNNNNNNNNNNNNNNNNNNNNNNNNNNNNNNNNNNNNNNNNNNNNNNNNNNNNNNNNNNNNNNNNNNNNNNNNNNNNNNNNNNNNNNNNNNNNNNNNNNNNNNNNNNNNNNNNNNNNNNNNNNNNNNNNNNUAAACAAGACAUGAUUAUGUUUUUCAAGCAAAGAUCUAAACUUUAUCCAAAAUAAUCAAAGAAUAAGGUGAAAAGGCGAAACAUUCAACAUUAACUAUUCUUUUCAACAUAAAGAAAAUAACUUUACAUGCUAAAAAUAAACAUAUUCAACAAUAAUGAGUUUAAACAAGACAUGAUUAUAUUUUUCAAGCAAAGAUCUAAACUUUAUCCAAAAUAAUCAAAGAAUAAGGAGAAAAGGCGAAACAUUCAACAUUAACUAUUCUUUUCAACAAAAAAAAAAUAACUUUACAUGCAAAAAUCAAAUAUAUCCAACAACAAUGAGUUUAAACAAAGCAUAAAUACAUAUUUUAAGCAAAGAUUGAAACUUUAUCCAAAAUAAUCAAAGAAUAAAGUAAAAAAAAAAAAAGACACAUACAACUAUUGUUAGCUCAUUUUUAUAUCAUGAACAUGAAAAUAAUUAGAAUAUCGAUACCACAACGUCCUAGGGCCUUUAAGGCCAUCUACAACAUAAAAUUCCAGCAAACAAAAUUAUAUCUACGAACUAUGAAGAAGAAAAAAGAUGAAGAAGAAAACGAUAAUAAAAACUAAAAAAAAAUGUUUGUUUACCUUUUUGGGGGCAGCAAAACGAGACUACGAGUUUCGUCGGAAUCAACCACCACUAAAAAAAUGUCGUUGGCAACUUGAAAUUUUUUAUUAGCUGACCAACUCUAUAAAACAAAAAUUUUUACUAAAUAAAAAUAACUAUUUUUCUCUUUUUACCUUUCUAGCAUUUUUUUCCUUACUUUUUAACCAAAGUAGUGGUAGUAUUUAUAGGAGAGAAUGAGAUUUAUUUUUUCCACCAAUGUGGGAGAAAAGUAUUUAUUUAAAAGGAUGAGGAUUUAUUUCUUGUCCUCCACCAAUGUGGGAGAAAAAGCAAAUAAAGGUGUUUUUGAAAUUUUAAAAUUGAAGAUAAGGUGAGGUGGAAGAUAAUGUGGGGAAAAAUUGUACAAUGUAGUACAACUUUUGAAUUUCAAAAUUGGGAAAAGACAAAAUUUGGGGGAAAUAGUACAAUGUAGUACAAUUUGAAAUUAUUUUUUUGUGGAAUUAGGUAGAAGUUAUGAGAGUUUUGGAGAAUUUUGGGGUUAUUUAAAAUAUAACCUCAAUUGAGAUUUAAAAUUUAGUCAUAUUUAUUUAAUUUUGACCAAAUUACAAAUUAAUUGACGGAUUGCAUUACAAUUAUGGCCAAUUUGAUUUCAAUUAUGGCCAAAUCUACUUGAUUGACUAAAUUAAAUUGAACUUCGAUGCGAAUUAAUACUUUCUUUAAUCCCGGGCUUCUUGAUUUUAUAAAAUCAAACACAUAUUUAUCCGAAUAAAUUAUUUUUUGAGAGUAGAUUAUAUUUAAAUCAAAACUUUAAUUAUUUGAAUCUAUAAACCUUGAUUAAAAUCCGAUAUUUUAAAAAAUAAAUAUUUAAGUAAUAAAAUUAUAAAAUCUCGUAUAAUUGAAUACGAUAAAUUAUAAUCACUACUUAAAAUGAUAAAAUUAAGUACAAAUAUAUUUAAUAAAUUUUUAUUCGGAUGAAAUAAAUAUUUUAAUUUUAUUAAAAAUCAAAGAAACUCAGGAUUAAAUUUAGUCGUAGAGGGAAAAAAUUAGGUGUCAACUAUUGUCCCUCCCUUUGGGUAGGGUGGAUGCAAGUAACCCUGGGCAAAGGGAGGUUGGCGUUCCUAAUUUUUGUCCGGCCAUAGAUUCAUACCUGAAUAAGUUACGACCGGACCUCGGUAUUAGGUUUCCUACAUAUCUCAGGUUACAUGAGAAUUCAGGCCAUUUGUAGUUAGACUCACCCACUAUUACGGUUUUAGAGUUUUUGGUUAAACCGAGAAGCUGGGGAAUAAACGGAUUUAGGGGAGGUUGGAAUGCAGUUGAGUUUUCCACGUAGAACCCAACCUACAUAUCUCGAAGACUCAGGGAAUCAGACUGCUUGUAGUUUGACUCAAUCGGUAGAAAAGAUAGCCUUUUAUUUCAAACGAUCUUUGGCUCAGUCUGAGUGACAAGUUGAUUGAGUUGCAGAAAAAAGGAUUGUAACAUCUUAACCAUGAACGUGGAGCUCUUCACAUCCAUAGGUAAGAAUUUACCUGGACAUAAUUUGCAAAACUCUAGGUGUGUUGUCACUCGUAUUUGAAAGAAAGAGAACUUUACCCUCGGUAUGAGUUUACGAAUAUCCCAAAGGUGAAGCUGAAACCAGAAUAUCCCAGAAUUCCCACAUGCCUUCUAAUAGGGGUAUGGUUGGAUGGUGGUUGCGAUCAUCCUUUAGCUCGCAUCCAAAGAGUUUGACGUCCCUCUUUAGACUAUGUCCCAUUUUGCUGCUAAGAAAGAAUUCCAUGUUGUGCUGCGUCCUUUUUGGAGUCGUCCGCACCUGUGGUUUUAAUUUAAGAUUUUCAUCCGCUCAGAUUCUCUCGACAAUAUCUCAAGCAAAAAGUGUUAGUGCUAAACAUAACUCACAAAAGAGGUAUGUAGUCUUUUACCAUAUCUCUACGUGAGUUGUGGUCUGAAAAGCGGAGUCAUAUCUUCAUGUACCUGUUUGGAAUGAAAUAACUGGCAACAACAAACACAACAACCCUCUUGGUUGUUGUAUAAUUAUGAUAUUUGUUGGUUGAAUAUGUCUUCAAAGUGGGGUGGCUCUUUUGGACACCGGCGAUACUUUAUGCGGAACGGUCCCUACAACCGUGUGAUCUUGUGUUGGUGUGGCAACCCUUUUGGUUACCUAUAUCACUUGUUGUAUGUGGAAAGAUAACCUCUUCGAUUAUAACCGAUGAUCAAUUUAUAAAUUUUUCUUAAAUUAUAAAUCUUUGGAUAAUCUUGCAUAUUAUAUGAUGUUGGAUACAAGGCGACUUGCAGAUAUCCUUUGAAUUUCUAGGUUUAAGGUAAUCCUGCACAUUAUCCGACAUUGGAUAAGAUAUGACUUAUAGAUAUCCCUCGAAUCGCUAGCUUUCAGGUGUUUCUGCACAUCAUCCGACCUUGGAUACAAUAUGAGUUAUAGAUAAUCUCUCAAAUUAUUAGUCUUUGGGUAAUCCUGCACAUAAUCGAUCUUGGAUAUGACGCGGCUUAUAGAGAACCCUUAGACGUAUCAAUUUGAUAAUCUUGUAUAUUCUCCGGUAAGGAUUUAGUUGCGACUUAUGGAUAACCUUUGAACUAUCGAUUUUUAGGUGAUCUUGCACACUAUCCGGUUAGGAUUUUGUUGAGAUUACGGAUGAACUAUAGGAUAUCAACUUAUAGGUGAUCUUGCACACUAUCCUAUUUCAAAUAAUAUGACUUAUAGAUGACCCUCAAAUUGUCAAUUUCUAGAAAAUCUUAUAUAUCAUUCAUCUUUAGAUAGCGACUUAAAGGCGGCUCUUCAAAUCGUGUGCUCUCGAUACAUUCAGAUGCUGAUUCAUAAAAUGAUGAGAUAUCCUUAACGCUAGCAUUUGUGUCUUGCGUGUCAACAGAUAUAAAAUGAUGAUGAUAUCUUCGACGCCAGUGUUUUGUCUUGCAUGUCAACAGAUAUAUUGAAUGUUGAUGAUAUCCUCGACGCCAGUGUUAUGUCUAGCGCAUCAACAAAUAUUGAAUAAUGAUGAUAUCCUCGAUACCAGUGUUGUGUCUUGCGGGUCAACAGAUAUAUUGCUAAUGAUAUCCUCAAUGCCAGCAUUGUGUCUCACGUGUCAACAGAUAUAUGAAUGUUGAUGAUAUCCUCGACGCCAGCAUUGUGUCUCAUAUGUCAACAGAUAUAUGAAUGUUGAUGAUAUCCUCGACGCCAGUGUUGUGUCUCACGUGUCAACAGAUAUAUGAAUAGUCUUCUUUGGAGAUGGUAUAAGAUAACCCUCUUGGCAAUGAUAUGCAAUGGCCUUUGCGGCAAUGAUAUGCAAUGGCCCUUACGGCAAUAAUAUGCAAUGGCCCUUUCGGCAAUGAUAUGUAAUGGCCCUUUCGGCAAUGGCCCUUUCGGCAAUGAUAUGCAAUGGCCCUUUCGGAAAUGAUAUGCAAUGGCCCUUGCGGAAAUGAUAUGCAAUGGCCCUUGCGGCAAUGAUAUGCAAUAGCCUUGCAGCAAUGAUAUGCAAUGGCCUUUGCAGCAAUGAUAUGCAAUGGCCCUCUUGGCAAAUUUUAAAGUAAUUUUACCCGACUUCAUUUGUCAGCGCCUUGCUUUUUACAUGUACCUGUACUCAAGGUAGACGAUUAGUAGACAAAAGUCGCUUUUACUAGCGACUAUUUUUAGGUAACUUCUAAAUACAAUGUUUGUAAAGAAGAAAAGGCGCUUUUGUUUGUCGCCCAUGAUCUCAAGAAAUGAGAUGGACAAAUCAGAAGGUCCUCAAUAAAUGGGUAUUAAACCUAUUUUUAGGGCUACCCUAAACUACCGUUCUUGGGCAUUAAUGCUAUGUUGUGGCUCCCAAUUUGCUCGGGGAUUUUUUAAGGAGACCCUCACUUUCGUGUAUUAAUCCCUGCAUCCAUAGAAAGAUGAUUAGUUUGAAUGAAAUUACUCUGUGUUGACCUUCUUCGAUCCUUGAUUUGCUGUUUUCCAUCUCUUGGGUAUUCCGCCAUGUCGGUACUUCCAUCCCUGGUGAUGUCUAGGCAAGUGCUAAUAAGUGAGAUGUAAGAUUUUUUUGAAAAUAGUCUUAAGUUAUAGAAAAUAUUUCGAAAGCUUCUGUAAAAGAACGUCUUCCUCCUGGUUUUGACUCUAUCUGACGGAUGAUUUCCAAAGCUCAUGAUCAUUUUUGGAGGUUUUCUUCAAGUAGUUCUAUCAUAGCAAGAAUUGAGCUUGUCUAGACUUUGUCGUAGAUGACUACUUUAAAAGCUUGGCCUUAAUCUUUGGUGCUGGGGGAAUUUGGAAUAUGUUCCAGCAUCUAGUGGAAAUUUUGAGGUCUUUCCUCUAUAUUUCUGCCCCAGUUUAGAGUUGUUUGAGAUGAUACCAACUCGAGUGAAUCUGAAGUCUUUGCUGAUCUUUAUUCUCUUUGUUGGACGUCGAUCUUCUCUUGUGAAUUUUUGAGAUUCCUUCUCAAAAAUUUUGUCCUAGUUUCUAUUUCCUGGGGUUAUAUGACCCGAGUCGUUGGGGCACCUACGUAUCCCGUUGAAGCAGGAAUCAGGUCAAACGUAGUACAAAACUACGCUAAGGAUAUUUAGAAAAAUCUAAUAGGUUGACCGAAGCCAACAUAGGCCGCCUGCGUAGCUGAUUCUUGAGAAUUCAGGUCAUCACGUAGUUCAUACAUAAAAGGAAAGGAUAAAUUUUCCUAAGGGAUUGAUCGAAGCCGACAUAGGCCGCCUACGUAUCUCAUUCUUGAGAAUUCAGGUCAAACGUAGUUCGUACAUAAAAGGAAAUGAUAAAUUUUCCUAAGGGAUUGACCGAAGACGACAUAGGCCGCCUACGUAUCCUUUUUCGGGAAUUCAGGUCAAACGUAGUUCGUACAUAAAAGGAAAUGAUAAAUUUUCCUAAGGGAUUGACCGAAGCCGACAUAGGCCGCCUACGUAUCCCUUUUUGGGAAUUCAAUUCAAACGUAGUUCUUACAUAAAAGGAAAUGAUAAAUUUUCCUAAGGGUUGACCGAAGCCGACAUAGACCACCUACGUAUCCCUUUUAUGGAAUUCAGGUCAAACGUAGUUCGUACAUAAACUCAUAAUGGCCCUAAAAAUACUCUUACCCAUCUUACUAGGAUAUAAAUAAGUACUUCUACGAAUGACAUGACAUUUGCAUUGUGUUUGUCUUGAUAGAACAAAGGAUCAAAUGUCUGUUUUGCGAAAAUUUUGACUUUUGAAGAGAGUCACCACUUAAUUUUGAAAUUGAAUUCAGAAACCUUUAGAGAGUUACUUCAAACGAUUCAAAACAGGAAAAUCAUUGUAAGUUAGAGAUUCUAGAUAAGCGAUUCCUAUUAACAUUAUAGGAAGGUGUUAGGCACCUAAAACGUCUGCUAACUUGCGGUUAUCCGGACUGUUUGAAAAUCGUCUUUUGAUUAACUUCGAAAAGAUUAAUUUGUUGAAAUAGUGAUUUGAUUUUUUCAAAAAAAAAAAAAGACGUGUAAAAUAGAUUUAGGCGACUUAGUAGGGAUUUUAACUAAAGUCUAAAUAAAACUAAUAAACAAAUAAAAGGGGAAGGGAGGAGAAAGUAAAGGAUUUAGGCCAUUAGGCCCAAAUCAACGAGACCUGUCCUAGUCUAGUUGGGCUUCCAGCCCAUUUCACCUGUCCUAAAUUAUUUUUUGAGCCUUUGGCUCGAGUUUUGCUCCACCUGUAUUAAAUACAACUUUGGCUUUGAGGCCGAAAUAAUGAAUAAAUAAAUGAAUAAAUGAAUAAAUAAAAAGAAGACAAUAAUAAAAAUUGAGACUUUUCAAGUCUUUUAGUGACCUCAUCAAUGGGUUUUGACCCAUUUUCCUUCUUUGUCUAUCUUCUAGCACCCGCACGCCAUGUAGAAAUUAAUAUAUGUUCAAGGCAUAAAAGUGACAUAUUUCAAAGUAAAAGAAACUAUCAAGAACCAAUUUUUGAAUGACAAUGAUAAGCACACUUGCACAAGAAUGAGAGUCAACAAAUAAAAAAUGCAAAGCAAAAGUUUCUGAAAUGUAAGUUUCUGAAUAAGCACACUUGCACAAGAAUAGAGAUUUAUUUCUUGUCAUCUACCAAUGUGGGAGAGAAAGCAUUUAGGGGGUUUUUGAAAUGUAAAAAUUAAAGAUAAGGUAAGGUGGAAGAUAAUGUGGGGGAAAAUAGUACAAUGUAGUACAAUCUUUGAAUUUCAAAAUUGGAAAAGGACAAAGUUGGGGGAAAUAGUACAAUUUGNNNNNNNNNNNNNNNNNNNNNNNNNNNNNNNNNNNNNNNNNNNNNNNNNNNNNNNNNNNNNNNNNNNNNNNNNNNNNNNNNNNNNNNNNNNNNNNNNNNNNNNNNNNNNNNNNNNNNNNNNNNNNNNNNNNNNNNNNNNNNNNNNNNNNNNNNNNNNNNNNNNNNNNNNNNNNNNNNNNNNNNNNNNNNNNNNNNNNNNNNNNNNNNNNNNNNNNUGCAAUUAUGACCAAUUUUCAAUUAUGGUCAAAUCUAAUAGAUUGGCUAAAUUAAAUUAAAAUUUGAUAAGAAUUAAUACCUUUUUUUUUUAAUCCCGAGCCUCUUGAUUUAAUAAAAUGAAUGCAUAUUUAUCCAAAUAAAUUAUUUUUGAGAAUAAAUUAUAUUUAAAUUAAGAUUUCACUUAAUUUAUUUUCAAGAUAAGCCUUAAUUAAAUCCGAUAUUUUGUAAAAUAAAUAUUUAAGUAACAAAUUAUAUAAUCUCGUAUAACUGAACACGAUAGUAUAUAAUCGCUACUUAAAAUGACAAAAUCACGUACGAAAAAUAUUUUAAGUUUUUUAUAAUUUGGAUGAAAUAAUUAUUUUGGUUUAUUAAAAACUAAAGAAACUCAAGAUUAAAUUUAGUCGUAGAGAACAAAAAUUAGGUGUCAACAGCUGCCCUCUCCCUUUGGGUAGGGUGGAAGUAAGUAACCCUGGGCAAAGGAAGGUUGACGUUCCUAAUUUUUGUCCGAUCAUAGAUUCGAAUCUGAAAGAGGUUGGUUUUCGCACGAGUUUCAUAGAGUCAUGGCCGGAUCUCGGUAUUAGGUUUCCUACAUAUCUCAGGUUACAUGAGAAUUCAAGCCACUUGUAGUUCAUAGAGCUUGAUUUAAAGCACGAUUUUCAAAAAAUUCACAAGUUAUCUCAGUUUUAGAGCGUUUGAUAAAACUGAGAAACUGGGGAAUAAAGGGAUUAGGGGGGAGGUUGGAAUACAGUCGAGUUUUCUACAUAGAUCCCAGCCUACAUAUCCCCAAGAUUUCAGGGAAUCAGACUACUUGUAGUUUGACUCAAUUGGUAGAAAACAUAGUCUUUUAUUUCAGACCAUCUUUGGCUCGGAAUGAGUGUCAAGUUGAUUGAGUUAUAUAAAAGAGGCUUGUAACCUCUUAACCAUGAAUGUGGGAUCCUUCACAUCCAUAGUCAAGAACUUACCUGGACAUAAUUUCCAAAACUCUAAGUGUGUUGCCACCCGAAUUUGAAAAAAAGAGAAGGUUACCCUCGGCGUGAGUUUAAAAAUAUCCAGAAGGUGAAGCUGAAACCAGAAUAUUCUGAAAUACCCACAUGUCUUCUAACAGGGGUGUGGUUGGAUGGUGGUGGUGAUCAUCCUUUAGCUCGCGUCCAAAGAGUUUGACGUUCCUCUUUAGACUAUGUUCCAUUUUGCUGCUAAGAAAGAGUUCCACGUUGUGUUACGUCCUACCUGAAGUCGUCCGCACUUGUGGUUUUUAUUUGAGAUUUUCAUCAUCUCGGAUGCUCUCAACAAUGCUUCAAGCAAAAAGUGUUAGUACUAAACAUAAUUCAUGAAAGAGGUAUGUACUCUUUACCAUAUCUCCACGUGAGUUGUGGCCUAAAAAGUGAAGUCAUCCUUUAUUGUACCUAUAUCACUUGUUGUAUGUGGCAUGAUAACCUCUCCGGUUGUUGCCGAUGAUCGAUUUAUAAAUUUUUCCUAAAUUGUCAAUCUUUAGAUGAUCUUGCGUAUUAUUUUAUGUUGGAUACGAGGUGACUUACAGACUUUUAGGUUAUCCUGUACGUCAUUCGACUUUGGAUAAGAUAUGACUUACAGAUAUCCCUCUAAUCGCCAGCUUUCAGGUGUUCCUGCACAUCAUCCGACCUUGGAUAAAAUAUGACUUAUAGAUAAUCCCUCAAAUUGAUCGUCUUUGAGUAAUUCUGCACAUAAUCGAUCUUGGAUAUGACGCGGCUUAUAGAGAACCCUUGGACGUAUCAAUUUGACAAUCUUGUAUAUCCUCCGAUAAGGAUUUAGUUGCGACUUACGGAUAACCUUUGAACUAUCAACUUUUGGGCGUCUUGCACACUAUCCGGAUAGGAUGUUAUUAUGGCUUACGGAUGACCUACAGGCUAUCAACUCAUAGGUGAUCUUGCACACUAUCUUAUUUCAAAUAAUAUGACUUAUAGAUGACCUUCAAAUUGUCAAUUGCUAGGAAAUCUUAUAUAUCAUUCAUCCUUAGAUAGCGACCUGAAGGCGUCCCUCCAAAUCGUGUGCUCUUAAUGUAUUCAAAUACUGAUUCAUGAAAAUAUGAUGAUAUCCUCAACGCCAGCAUUGUGUCUAGCGUGUCGAUAGAUAUAUUGAAUGUUGAUGAUAUCCUCGACGCCAGCGUUGUGUCUAGCGUGUUGAUAGAUAUAUUGAAUGUUGAUGAUAUCCUCGACACCAGCGUUGUGUCUAGCGCGUCAACAGAUAUUAAAUGUUGAUGAUAUCCUCGACGCUAGCGUUGUGUCUAGCGUGUCGACAGAUAUAUUGGAUACUGAUGAUACCUUCUACGCCAGCAUUGUGUCUAACGUGUUGACGAAUAUUGAAUGCUGAUGAUAUCCUCUAUGCCACGUUGUGUCUAGUGUGUCGUCAAAUAUUAAAUGAUGAUGAUAUCCUCGAUGCCAGCAUUGUGUCUAGCACGUCAACAAAUAUUGAAUGCUGAUGAUAUCCUCAAUGGCAGCAUUGUGUCUAGCGCCUUAAUAGAUAUUGAUGCAGAUGAUAUCCUCGAUGCCAGCAUUGUGUCUAGCGCAUCAACAGAUAUGUAAUGGCCUAUGCGGCAAUGAUAUAUGAUGGCCUUUGCAGAAAUGAUAUGCAAUGGCCAUUGUGGCAGUGAUAAAAUAAUUUUACCUGGCUUUAUUUGUCAGUGUCCUGCUUUUUACAUGUACCUGUACUCAAGGUAGACGAUUAGUACACACAAAGUCACUUUUACUAGCGACUAUUUUUAGGAAACUUCUAAAUGCGAUACGUGUAAAGAAGACAAAGUGCUUUUGGUUGUCGCCUACAAUCUCAAGAAAUGAGAUGGACAAAUCAAAAGGUCCUCAAUAAAUGGGCAUUAAACCUAUUUUUGGGGCUGCCCUAAAAUAUCAUUCUUGGGCAUUAAUGAUCUGUUGUGGCUCCCAAUUUGCUCGGGGAUUUUUGAAAGAGACUCUCAUUUUGCGUAUUGAUCCCUACAUCCAUAGAAAAAUGAUUAGUUGAAUGAGAUUACUCCAUGUUGACCUUCUUCGAUCCUUGAUUUGCUCCUUCCCAUCUCUUGGGCAUUCCACCAUAUUGAGACUUUCAUCCUAACACUCUAUCCCAAAUGAUGUCUAGGCAAGUACUAAGUAAGUGAGUCGUAAGAUUUUUGAAAAUAGUCUUAAAUUUUAAAAAUAAUUUUGAAAACUUCAGUAAAAUUUUAGAAAAUUUCUGCCAGUCAUGUCAUGUACUAGCUCAAUGAACGUCUUCCUCGCGGUUCUGACUAUAUCCGAUGGAUGGUUUCCAAAACUCAAGAUUAUUGUUGGAGGGUUUCUUCAAGUAGUUCUAUCAUAGCCAAAAAUUGAGUCUACCCAGACUUUGUUACAGUUGGUGAUUUCCAAAGCUUUAACCUCUGGUGCUGGGGAAUUUGGAAUAUGUCCCGGCAUUUGGUGGAAAUUUUGAGGUCUUCCUCAAAAUUUCUGCCCCAGUUUAAACUUGUUUGAGAUAAUACCAAUCUGAGUGGAUCUGAAGUCUUUGCUGAUCUUCAUUCUCUUUGUUGCAUGUCGAUCUUCUCUUGUGAAUUUUCAAGAUUUCUUCUUGAAAAUUCUGCCCCGAUUUCCAUUUCCUAAGGUUAUAUAACCGAGCCGUUGAGGCGCCCACAUAUCUAGUUGAAGUAGGAAUAAGGUCAAACGUAGUUCAAGCUAUGCUAGAGAUAUAGAAAAGAAAUUAAUGGGUUGACCAAAGCCGACAUAGGCCGCCUACGUAUCCCUUUUAUUGGGAAUUCAGGUCAUCACGUAGUUCAUACAUAGGGGGGAAAGGAUAAAUUUUCCUAAGGGGUUGACCGAAGCCAACAUAGGCCGCCUACGUAUCCCUUUCUUGGGAAUUCAGGUCAAACGUAGUUCAUGCAUAAAGAGAAAGGAUUCUAGGCAGUUACACACUAGAAAACAACAUUAUAACAAAGGUGAUUACAAACAAACUAAGAAAACAUAAAAACUAGAACGUUAUUCAAACAUAAUAUCUCUUUACCACAUCAGAAUUGAUUGGUUUGGUCCACUCUGUGCCAUCCAUCUCAAACAAAAUUAGAGCUCCUCCAGAUAGCACCUUGCUAACUAUGUAUGGCCCUUGCCAGUUUGGAACGAACUUGCCCUUGUACUCCUCUUGGUGAGGGAAUAUUCGUUUGAGAACCAGUUGCCCCACUUCAAAUGCUCGAGUUCUUACCUUCUUGUUAAAGGCACCAACCAUCCUGUGUUGAUACAGCUGACCAUGGCAUACAACGGCAAUUCUCUUUUCAUCAAUUAACAUGAAUUAUUUAUAGCGAGCACGGACCCAUUCUUCGUUACUCAGUCCAGCUUCCUGAAUAAUCCUUAGGGAAGGUAUUUCGACCUCAGCAGGUAUCACAGCUUCAUUCUCGUAAACUAGUAAAUAGGGAGUUGCUCCUGUAGAGGUUUGAACUGUUGUUCGAUACCCUAGCAAGGCGUAAGGUAACAUCUCAUGCCAUGAUCUAUCAUUUUUGACCAUCUUUCUUAAGAUCUUCUUAAUAUUCCUGUUAGCAGCUUCUAUGGCUCCAUUCAUUUGGGGACGGUACGCUGUCGAGUUGUGAUGCACAAUCUUGAACUGAUCACAAAUUUCUUUCAUCAAGUAACUGUUCAGGUUUGCCCCAUUAUCAGUAAUAAUUGAUUCUGGCACUCCAAAUCGACAAAUCAAGUUAUUCCUGACAAAAUCUACAACCACUUUCUUAGUGACGGCUCUGUAUGAAGUUGCUUCAACACACUUAGUGAAAUAAUCGAUGGCGACUAAAAUAAAUCUAUGUCCAUUCGAUGCCAAUGGCUCUAUUGGUCCGAUAACAUCCAUGCCCUAAGCUACGAAAGGCCGAGGAGAAUUCAUUGCACGAAUCUCGUGUGGAGGCAUUCGAAUCAGAUCUCCGUGUAUUUGGCAUUUUGGAUAUCUCUGCACAAACUUACUACAAUCAUUUUCCAUAGUCAUCCAGAAGUAACCGGUUCUCAGGAUCUUUCUGGCAAGGACAAACCCAUUCAUGUGGGCCCCAUAAACUCCAGUGUGUACCUCGUUUAUCAACUUAUUGGCUUCCGCCGCAUCGACGCAUAUUAGGAAUCCCAAUUCAGGAGUCCUCCUAUAAAGAAUUUCUCCACUUGGAAAGUAAUUCUUUGCCAAACGCCGGAUUGUCUUAUUUUGGUUGUUACUAGCCUCUUCAGGAUAUAUUCCAGAUUCCAAAUACCUCUUAAUGUCAUAGUACCAAGGCCUUACAUCAAGCUUCUCUUCCACGUGUAUGCAAUACGCGGGUUGCUCCUUCAGGCUUAUUUUCAAAGAAUCGAUGUAGCUCUGAUCCGGGUGCUGAAUCAAGGAAGAUAUCGUGGCCAAAGCGUCAGCAAAAUCGUUUUAUGUCCAUGGGAUAUGUCUGAAAUCAUCAUUUUUGAAUCUUCCGCAUAAUUCUUGCACCAGCUCCACAUAAGGAGUACUCUUGGAGUUUUUUACCGCCCAUUCUCCCCGUACCUGGUGAAUCAGCAAAUCUGAAUCUCCGUUGGCUAGCAAUUCACGAACACCCAUAUCAAGUGCCAAUUUGAGCCCCAAGAUACAAGCUUCAUAUUUAUCCAUGUUGUUGGUGCAUGGAAAAUGUAACUUAGCAGUUACCGAAUAAUGUCGGCCCGUUUCUGAUACCAAAACUGCUCCAAUUUCUGAACCUUUGAAGUUGACCGCCCCAUCAAAAAAUAGCCUCCAUCCGGGGUAGAUUUUUGUGAUAUCUUCUCCUACGAACAAAACUUCCUCGUUUGGAAAGUAUGUCUGAAUGGCUCGUAUUUCUCAUCAACUGGGUUUUUAGCCAAAUAAUCUGCUAAGGCUUGCCCCUUGAUUGCUUUUUGGGUUACAUACACAAUGUCAAACUCACUCAGCAACAUUUGCCACUUGGCUAGCUUUCCUGUAGGCAUGGCCUUCUGGAAUAUAUACUUUAAUCGAUCCAUUCUCGAGAUGAGGUAAGUUGUGUAGGAUGAUAGAUAAUGCCUCAACUUUUGUGCCGUCCAAGUCAAAGCACAACAUGUCCUUUCUAUAAGAGUUUAACGGGCUUCAUAUGGUGUGAACUUUUUACUCAAGUAGUAAAUGGCUUUCUCUUUCCUGCCGGUCUCAUCAUGUUGCCCGAGGACGCAUCCGAAAGCAUUUUCUGAGUCUAACAGGUAAAGCAAUAAUGGAAUUCCUUCUCUCGGUUGGACCAAAACUGGUGGUGCAGACAAGUAUUCCUUGAUGCGAUCAAAAGCUCUCUGACAUUCUUCUGUCCACUCAUUCAGUGCAUUUUUCUUCAACAUCUUGAGAAUUGGCUUGCAUAUGACUGUUGAUUGAGCGAUGAAUCUGCUAAUGUAAUUCAGAUGACCCAGGAAACUCAUAAUUUCUUUCUUGGUCCUCGGCGGUGGCAAGUCUUGAAUUGUCUUGAUUUUGGAUGGGUUUAGCUCGAUCACCCUUCUGCUGACUACGAACCCCACAACUUCCCUGAUGGCACGCCAAAAGCAUACUUAGCAGGAUUUAACUUCAAACUGUACCUUCUUAAUCUAUUGAAGAAUUUCUUCAGAUGAGUUAGAUGAUCCGAACUCUCGUGGGAUUUGAUAAUUACAUCAUCCACGUACGCUUCAAUCUCCUUAUGAAUCAUAUCAUGGAAAAUCGCCGUCAUGGCCCUCAUAUAUGUCGCACCUGCAUUUUUGAGACCAAACGGCAUUACCCUAUAAUGAUAAACACCCCAGGGCGUAAUAAAAGCCAUUUUUUCUGCAUCUUCCUCAUCCAUCAGUAUAUGAUGAUAGCCGGCGAAACAAUCAACGAAUGACUGCAUUUCAUAUUUUGCACAGUUAUCGAUGAGAAUGUGGAUGUUAGGCAAUGGAAAAUUAUCUUUAGGACUGGCUCUGUUCAAGUCUCUAUAGUCAACACAAAUUUGAAUCUUGCCAUCCUUCUUUGGUCAACCAUGUCGGAUAUUUUGUGACCUCGACAACCUUAGACCGAAUUUGUUUUGUCACUUCUUCCUUGAUCUUUAGACUUAAAUCUGACUUGAAUUUUCUCAUUUUUUGCUUGACUGGAUCAAACUCAGAAUUUAUCAACAAUUUAUGUGACACAAUGCUGGUGCUCAACCCUGGCAUAUCAUCAUAGGACCAAGCAAACACGUCGAUAUAAUCCUGUAAUAGGUGGAUGAGCUCUUCCCUUUGUGGCGCCGUGGGGUGGACAAUGAUACUGGUCUCUUUGAUUUCAUCGUGAUCUCCCAAGUUGACUGUUUCAUUUUUUUUCAGAUUGGGUUUUUCGCGAUUCUCAAAUUCCUCUAUAUCUUCAACUAACUGUUCCUCGUCAUUGUCCUUCCAACCAUCAUCGUCCCUUUCAUUUUGUUCGUUCAGGAUUUGACAUGACAUAACAUUGGUAGGUUUUAAGCUACUGUUACUGUAAUGGACAAACAAACUAAGUUAGAUGAUAAGAAAAUAACAAAACAUAUGAAUAGGGGCAUUUUCAAACUAAUAUAGUUUUCCAAAUAAAUUAAGGCCUUUUCAUUAAAAUUUGAGAAAUAAUUACAACACUAUGGCUUGUGACUUGCACAAAUACAAGCCCCCACCUUUUUUGAAAGCAGUAUGAUAUGAAAAUAAAGUUUUGAGAUAUAAAAGGUAGAUCGCGGGGCCUCCUCCAGAUCAUCACCGAUUUUAAAACUAUUAGUAAUUGGCCUUUCAUCUACCACGAUAGGCAACGAGUUAUGAGUGGAGUGGAGGUCCAAUUUUGCAAAUCCUCCCGUGGCGCAAUCUGCUUCACCCCGUUGGACUCUGGGAGAUCUUCUGGUACAGCAUUGCAUCCUUCAAACAAAUCUCCUAUCCCAUCCCCAAGACCAUCAUCAUCUGACAUCUCUCAUAUGGGAAAUGACUGGAACAGGAGUGGCAAAGGCCUAAACAGACUCUUUUCUGGAUCAUCGUCAACUCUAUCUCUUCUGGUAGGCUGAUACCCUAACCUGUGCUUAGAGCUUCUCUCUAGUAUCACAAUAGGCUCGAUAAUUCCUUAUAAAUUCUUGUCCAAGCCUCGACCAGGUUUGAACCUAUUUCUUAACAUCACAGUUGCAAUCAUUUUGUAGACAGAAGGCAUUGAUAUUUUGGGUAUCGAAUCUCUUUUCGCAGUGUUUACAAUUUCCACUGUAUAGAAACUGCUACCUUUUGCAACAUCUUCAAUCACCGGCACAUAACCAUUGGGACGGUCCGCUUGACUUCCUUCUCCUUGGAUGACUACUUCAUGAUCUUUCCAAAUGAACUUCAAUAAUUGAUGAAGUGGUGAUGAAAUUGCCAUUGCCCCGUGUAUCCAUGGUCUUCCCAAAAGCAGGUUGUAGCUAGGAUGGAUAUCCAUAACAUGAAACUUAGUCUUAAACUUAGCAGGCCCCAUUUGGAUGUGCAAAUCAAUCUCUCCUUUGGUAUAUCUCUGUCCUCCAUCGAAUUCUCUCAUAUUUAUGUGGCUUUGAUGAAUUUUCCCCAGAUCAUAGCCUAUUUGGACCAGCGUAGAGAGGGGAUAAAUAUUCAUACCAGAUCUAUCGUCUAUUAGUACCUGAUUAAUUGCAUAAUCACGACAAAUGACAGUGACAUGCAUGGCUUUGUUGGUCAUUGCUCCUUCAAACGGCAACUCUUCAUCACUGAAUGAUAUGCGAUGGUUCCCCACAAAGUUCCCUAUCAUCGCAGCCAAAUUCUCAACGCUCAUUCCUGCGGGAACAUAUGCUUCCUCUAAGACCUUCGAUAGAGCCUAUUGGUGGUGUUGCGAGCUGAAUAAUAGUGCCAAGACAGAGAUUUGGGCUGGCGUUUUCUCUAAGUGUUUGACAAUUGAGUAAUCCUUUGGUUGCGUACGCCUCCAAAAUUCCUCAACCUCUUCUUCAGUGAUUGGCCUUUUCUGUGAAUCUUUCUUGUUGGUCAAUUCCUCAGGGAUGUAAUAUCGUCCUGAUCGCAUCAUCCCCUAGGCAGCGGCGGUUUGCACAAUAAAUUCCUUCUUUGGAGGGGGAGUGUACACUUGAGUUAGUGCAAUCAUCACUAUAAAUGAGGCUUUCUCAUUGAUACUUAAGGCAGAUACAGCUUUCUCUAUCUUUCCUACCUCUUCCGCUCUUUUGCGCUUUUUGAAGUUCACCUGAGUAAUGGUCUUGCCAAAUGCCCAUUCGCCUUCUAUUUCACUCAUGUUAACUGUAGAUCCCCCAUGGUUGGGCAGUGGAUUACUGCUAAUAUUUGGAGUAGGUGCCUGGAGCGUGAUGACCUUUUGAUCAAUCAGAUCUUGGAUUCUUUAUUUCAAGAUAAGACAGUCCUCGGUACUAUGCCCUGCUGCCCCUGAAUGAUAGGCACAAUUUUGAUCAGGGUUGAGAGCUAGGAUUGAGAGGCUUUGGCUGUACUGGUUGCAAAUGACCAGUAUUCUUCAAUCUUUCAAAUAAUUGGGUGCGACUUUCAGCUAGUGGGGUGAAGUUUUGGGGAGGUUUCUUUUCGUGGUUUGGACGCUGGGGGUUAUACGGGCUUAGGUUUGUAGGAGGGGGAACUUGGUGGUAAUUUGGAGGUGUUUGGAAAUUUGUUCGGCUAUUUGGAGGAGUAGUUUGGAAAUGAAACUGAUAAUUUAGAGGUGGAACUGGGUAUUGGGGAAAGAUAUUUGGCUGUAGAGCUUGGUAUGAUGGUGGGAUGUUUGGGAGUGGAGUUUGGUAUUGGGUUUAGAUGUAGAAUGCGUGCGGAAGGUUAGGUGAUGGCAGGAAAGAUAAAACGUUUCUAGAAUUGAACCUUUGUUUCAAUUUUGUAACAGAAUUGGUAGAAACCCCACCUACCUCUUCCUUCUUCUUCUUAGAAAACAUGGCAGUUUCAGAAGAUGUUGGGGUUUUGGCAAUUUUUCCUGUCCGAAUACCUUUCUCUAAUGAUUCUCCUAUGUUUACCAAAUCUGCAAAGGUCACUCUGACAGCGGACACCAUCCUGGUAUAAUAUUAUCCUUCUUAAGCACAAGAGAACAUGGAUACCAUUUCCUCCUCGGACAUGGGGGGCUACAAUUUGGCAGCUUCUUUCCUCCAACGAAAAGCAUAAUCUUGAAAACUCUCAACGCUUUUUUGUUUAAUCCGAUCUAGUAAUAUCGAUCAGGGACUAUUUCAAUGUUGAAUGCGAACCGGUCAAGGAAACUCUUGGCCAAUGUCCUCCAACCAGUCCACCUUUUCGGCUCCUGAGAGAUGAACCACUCCAAGGCUUCACCAAUCAAACUUCGACUGAAUAGGCGCAUUAAUAACGCCUCAUUUUUCCCUAUCUCUACUAGUUGCUCGCAGUACCUUCUUAGAUGGGCCAUUAGAUUUCUGGUACCAUCAAACAUCUCAAACUUAGGGACCUUGUAUUCUUCUGGUAGGUCUACUCCUGGGUGAACACACAAAUCGUCAUACCCCAAACCGUCGUGGUCCUUGGCCCCGUGAGACUCUUUGUUCCUCAUGAUCUACUCUUGCAUGGCUAGUAAAUUCCUUUCAUACUGGGCCCUCCAUUCCUCCUCCUUCUCUUCGUAAUGGUCCAUCUCGGGGUUAGGAAGGGGUUCAUAAAUAUCAGGGGAUAUGAUGGCUUGAGGGGGAUUUGGAAGGAAGGCUUGAUUUUGCAGAUGGUGGGAAUUUGGUUGGUAAGUAGGGAGAACAUUUUGGAAAUUCAAAAGGUUAUGUGGGGAUUGUGAGUAGUUUGGCGAAAUAUGAGAGGGAUUUUGCGGAUUUGGAAAUGAAUUUGGUAUAUUCGAAGGUAGGUUUGCCAUAUUUUGUGUAUUUGGGAGUAAAUCUUGCGGAUUUGGGAAUGCGUUUUGUUGAUUUGAGAAUGUGUUUUGAGGAUUUGGGAAUGGAUUCGAAGACGGGUUCUGUGGGGUUGCGGAUGGAAUUUGUGGAUGGUAGGCGUCUGGAUUAUUUUCACGAUUAGCGUUUUGGACAAAUGAAGGAGUAGAGCCGGAUGAUAUGUUAGUUGGAUGGUCCCCGAGAAUAGGGGUACUGUGGGAAGGGAUUUGGAGUGGAGUCCCGUGUCCCCCCGGAGCAGGGGCAUUGACGGUGAUGGACAAGUUAGCCAAUUCUCGAGUGCGAUUUAUUUCCUCCUGAAGCAAUUCUAAUUUUCUUGUAAGUUCCGCAAUCAUCUCAUUCUGUUCCGCUAUCACAUUAUCCCGGAUAGCCAGUGAGUUUUCUUCGUCAUUUCCUGUCAUUUUUGAAUGAUGGUCCGAGGAUGGGAUUUUUUGUGUUUUCGAUUGGGUGAAGUAGGGAUGUUCUGCCAGUUUAUCAAUACGGAGUAAUUUCUGUUAUCUCAAAGUAAAACAACUCAAAGGUAAAUAUGUUAGUUUCUGUAUGUGAUAAGUAAUGCAAAAUAUUUGACAGGAAAUAAUCACGCAGAGUUGUUCGAGUCAUAGCUAAAUUCAUCUGUAGGUCAUAGUGUAUAAACUUGCCUUUGAUCUCAACCAACGCAUAUAAGCACAUAAAACAGUUAUAUCACACAAGACAUUAAAAUAACGCGUAUCGUAAUUGGGGUGACCCUUUUUGAGCCAAGGGUUCAAGCCUAAUGAUUUUUUGAAGAAAAUAUAUGCUUCCUCAAAGUCAAUCCAUUAACCCCUAACUCAUAUAGACGCAAAAAGAGGCAUAAAUGCCUACAAAAGAUAACGAAACAGGGAUACAAUUUUUAGGGAAAAGGGGAAAUACCAUGAAAGAAGAUAAGUUCCCGCACAGGGAAGAAUAGAAAAGCUAGCUACUGGAGCCUUGUUCGUCUGCUUUCGCCUUCUUUGCCUUGUUUACCUCAUGUGCUAUUUGGUGCCUAUUGAUGAUAAGGUGACUCCCGCAUAAUUGUGCCUUGCAGUCGUAAGUCAUUUCUCCUAUGCUGUCGAGUUGGGAGGCUAUGCUAUCAUCCAAAUCGAUUAGGCAUUGCCUGGCAUCAUCAGCAUCUUGCCUAGCUCUUUUCAACUCUUCCCUCAAUGUAUGUAUGAUCAAAGUGUCUUCCAUUUGCAUCUAUCGGUGCACAAUUUCACUUUUUUGGAACUCAUCUUGUAGCCUGUGAAGCCGAAUUUGAUGCUCGAAUUCUACAUCCACAACCCGAGUAGGCACAUUUGGUCCCAGAUUCAAUGCUCCGGCGAGGCUCUUUUUCAACCACUCUUUGUAAGUGUCGCUGACUUCAGGUUUAUACCCUAUACGGAAAGAGAAUUCUACCCACUUUUUCCUUCUCGGGAUGGUAGGGGCGGGUUCCCCUGAGACUCGGGAGCACUAAAAAAGGCCAUUCGCCCCCUCGAAUGAUGUAUUUCCCUAAACGAAGAUAGUUAAGGGACCAUUGGACAUCGCCAUCUCUUAAUUCUCCAAGAGUCUUAAACCAAAAUUUGUGGGAUGCUUUUCUUUUGAACUUAUGUAAAAAUAACCACAUGUCGUGCGAUUCUAGCAGAUUUCUCCUUGGUUUGUGAUCAGUUUAUGUCGUUCUAGGAUUUUUCACCAAAUGCAUCAUCAUCCACUAUUGUAAUAUAAGGUUGCAGCCUUGAAAGAAACGAUUCUCGACUUGGCAUCUUCCCAAAGCGCGAUAUAUGUCGGUGACAAUCAUGGGGGCUAAGUUGUGGAAUACUUUUUUAGAAUUGUAUUCCAUUCCAAAGAAGAGUGCAUGGGUCACUAUGACAACCCUCGGAUGAAUUGUGUCAUUUUCCCCUACGGGAACACCAUGGUUCUAAGUAGGCCUACCACGAAUCCAAAAGCUCUCGUUUCCUUCCAUUUUGCUUCCGACUUCAAUUUAUGCCCAAAUUUGUGAAAAGAGUUAAAUCUUAUGAACCGACGGUACAACUCAUGAAAAUUGAUAUUUGCUCCAUCCCGUUCUCCUAGCCCGGUGUCGUGAUCAAUUAAAAAUGCUUCCUUGAUCUUCUGACGAUCCCACACAUCCGGGACUAAAAUAUUCUUAUCGGUGUCUCCUUUAUCUUCAAACACAUUUCCGUACUCUCGUAGCAAAUCAAUACCUCUUCAAUGAUGGGGGUCAAUUCAACAUCCCCAAAGUGAAAUACCAUGUUCUGAUCAUCCCAAAAAGUUGUUAGUUCAUGGAUAAUUUCGGGCCAAGUGUCCAUCUCGAUCAAAGAAGGAAGAUGCCCAAUGUGUGUUCUAGCAAUCUUUCUCUCUUCUGUACCCAUGUAAUCCUACCACAGUUUCAGGUAAUCGUCGGGUUUGGUGACCAUCUUGAACUUUCCACGAGAAUGCAAUUGAGCCAUACCUACAUAAAAGAAGACAAAAUAAGCCUUUCCCCGACCCCAAAGGAUAAUGGAUUGAAUUUAGAGAAACAUAUAUUUCUUUAACACAUAAGCAUGGUUGGUCUGUGAUUGACUCGGGGUCAAAUAGAUAUAGGGUAGGUUUUCUAAUAGGCCCAACACCCCGCUCGGAUAUUGGGUCGUCCUAGGCACAUGCCUAAAAUAGAGUUUUGGUUUCGUUCUAUCUUCGGUGUCUAGAGUGGGCUUGGACACUGGUUCUCAAGCGGACAACUUGAGUUUGAAAAUACGAACAGCGUCAGACGACUCACGUGCUGAUAAGUUGUUCGUAUUUCCAACAUAUUUUGGAAUUGAACAACAAGGGUCAGGACAUCCACGAAACCCCAAAACAGUUUAUAAGAUGCAGGAAAUGCCAUAAGAUGCGAUAAUUAAACUUUACAUAAUCGAAACACAUAAACACAUAAAUAGUUAAUCAAAGAUGAAAUAAAAUAUUUGAUUAGAACCUAGUUAGAUCCCCAGCAGAGUCGCCAUUUCUGUUUUGCGAAAAUUUUGACUUUUGAAGAGAAUCGCCACUUAAUUUUGAAAAGGAAUUAAGAAACCUUUAGAGAGUUACUUCAAACGAUUCAAAAUAGUAAAAUCGUUUUAAGUUAGAGAUUCUAGAUAAGAGGUUCCUAUUAAUGUUUUAGAAAAGUUUUAGGCACCUAAAACGUCCGCUAACUUGCGGUUAUCCGGACUGUUUAAAAAUCGUCUUUUGAUUAACUUCAAAAAGAUUAAUUUAUUGAAAUAGUGAUUUGAUUUUUUCAAAAAAAAAAAGACGCGUAAAAUAGAUUUAGGUGACUUAGUAGGGAUUUUAACUAAGUCUAAACAAAACUAAUAAACAAAUAAACACAUAAAAGGAGAAGGGAGGAGAAAGUAAAGGAUUUAGUCCAUUAGGCCGAAAUCAACGAGACCUGUCCUAAUCUAGUUGGGUCUCCAGCCCAUUUCACCUGUCCUAAACUAUUUUUCGAGCCUUUGGCUCGAGUAUUGCCCCACCUAUAUUAAAUACAACUUUGGCUUCGAGGACGAAAUAAAUAAAUAAAUAAAUGACUAAAUGAAUAAAUAAAAAGAAGACAAUAAUAAAAAUUGAGACUUUUCAAGUCUUUUAGUGACCUCAUCAAUGGGUUUUGACCCAUUUUCCUUCUUUGUCUAUCUUCUAGCACCCGCACGCCAUAUAGUGGACCUUGGGUUUAAACUUCAAACUUGACUUGAAGGGGUGAGCCUUAUUUACCCAUUACGAAAUGCAGGAAAAGAGGAGUCCAGUUAGACUCGAGAUAUUUUUUGCAUACAAAGAAAAGAUAAAGAAAUUAAUAUAUGUUCAAGGCAUAAAAGUGACAUAUUUCAAAGUAAAAUAAACUAUCAAGAACCAAUUUUUGAAUGACAAUGAUAAGCACACUUGCACAAGAAUGAGAGUCAACAAAUAAAAAAUGCAAACCAAAAGUUUCACAAUCAUACUAUGCAUGAGUCAAAAAUAUCUAAAUAAUUUUAUUUAGCCACAAAAGUUCGAACUUUCUUAUCAUUUUGAAAAGACAACAUGCGAACAAAGAAGAAUANNNNNNNNNNNNNNNNNNNNNNNNNNNNNNNNNNNNNNNNNNNNNNNNNNNNNNNNNNNNNNNNNNNNNNNNNNNNNNNNNNNNNNNNNNNNNNNNNNNNNNNNNNNNNNNNNNNNNNNNNNNNNNNNNNNNNNNNNNNNNNNNNNNNNNNNNNNNNNNNNNNNNNNNNNNNNNNNNNNNNNNNNNNNNNNNNNNNNNNNNNNNNNNNNNNNNNNNNNNNNNNNNNNNNNNNNNNNNNNNNNNNNNNNNNNNNNNNNNNNNNNNNNNNNNNNNNNNNNNNNNAAAUAAUCAAAGAAUAAGGUGAAAAGGCAAAACAUUCAACAUUAACUAUUCUUCUAAACAUAAAGAUAAUAACUUUACAUACUAAAAACAAAGGUAUCCAACAACAAUGAGUUUAAAAAAAGCAUAAAUACAUCUUUUAAGCAAAGAUUGAAACUUUAUCUAAAAUAAUCAAAGAAUAAUGUCAAAAAAGGCACAUACAACUAUUGCUAGCUCAUUUUUAUAUCAUGAACAUGAAAAUAAUUAGAAUAUCAAUUCCACAACAUCCUAGGGCCUUCAAGGUCAUCUAUAACAUUCAAUCCCAACAAAUAAAAUUAUAUCUAUGAACUACGAAGAAGAAAAAAGAUGAAGAGAAAAACGAUAAUAAAAACUAAAAUAAUAAAAAAAAAAAAAAAAGAGAAAAAAAAGGUGUUUUUACCUUUUGGGGGCAGCAAAACAAAACUACGAGUUUCGUUGGAAUCAACCACCACCGAAAAACAUCGCCGGCAACUCAAAAAUUUUGAUUAGCCGAUCAACAUUAUGAAACAAAAAUUUUUACUAAAUAAAAAUAACUAUUUUUGUUCAAAAGGAUUUUCUUUCCCCUUUCUAGCCUUUUUUUUCUUCCUUCUCCUUCCUCUCUCUACCAAAGUAGUGGUAGUAUUUAUAGGAGAGAAUGGGGUAUUUUUUUUUCCUUUUCCACCAAUGUGGGAGAAAAGUAUUUAUAGAAAAGGAUAGAGAUUUAUUUCUUGUCAUCUAUCAAUGUAGGAGAAAAAGCAUUUAGGGGAGUUUUUGGAAUAUAAAAGUUAAAGAUAAGGUGAGGCGGAAGAUAAUGUGGGGAGAAAUAGUACAAUGUAGUACAAUCUUUGAAUUUCAAAAUUGCAAAAGGAUAAAGUUGGGGGAAAUAGUACAAUUUGACUUUAUUUUUUGGUGGGAAUUGGGUAAAAAUUAUGAGAGUUUUUGAGAAUUUUGGUGUUAUUUAAAAUAUAACCCCAAUUGGAAUUUAAAAUUUAGCCAUAUUUAUUUAUUUUGACCAAAUUAAAAAUUAAUUGACGAAUUACAUUGCAAUUAUGACCAAUUUUUAAUUAUGGUCAAAUCUAAUAGAUUGGCUAAAUUAAAUUAAAAUUCGAUAAGAAUUAAUACCUUUUUUUUAAUCCCGAGCUUCUUGAUUUAAUAAAAUGAAUGCAUAUUUAUCCAAAUAAAUUAUUUUUGAGAAUAAAUUAUAUUUAAAUUAAGAUUUUAAUCAUUUGAAUUUAUUUUCAAGAUAAGCCUUAAUUAAAUCCAAUAUUUUGUAAAAUAAAUAUUUAAGUAACAAAUUAUAUAAUCUCUUAUAACUGAACACGAUAGUAUAUAAUCGCUACUUAAAAUGAUAAAAUCACGUACGAAAAAUAUUUUAAGUUUUUUUCUUUUAUUUGGAUGAAAUAAUUAUUUUGGUUUAUUAAAAACUGAAGAAACUUAAGAUUAAAUUUAGUCGUAGAGAUCAAAAAUUAGGUGUCAACAAUGUCCAAUGGAGUCAUCGCCUUCCUAGUUAACCACCUCUUUUUCCCCUAGAUUAGGCUUCUUUGAUUCUCGAACUCUUUGACUCUUCUGUUGACUGCUCUAAGGCUACCAUUAUUUUGCUUCUUGACAUGACAUGACAAUGGCAGGUUUUAAGUUACUGUUAUACAACGGGCGAUGAGUCAUGAGUGGAGUGGAGGUCCAAUUCAAUAAUGUUUCCUCCAAUUAAUCUUCCAUGAUUCCUAUUGUCUUGAAAAAUUCUUCCCUCACAUUUUUCCUUAUUCCAUCCUCAAAACUAUCGCUUACAGCUUUGAAAAAUGAUUGGUAGAAUCUAGUUUUACUACUAGUCAUUUUUCUUUUCCUGUAACAAAGCUAUAGUCAAGAAGCGAAUCUCUCAUUCAUUUUUAUCUGGUGAAGUAGGGUCAUUUUGUGCCAACACAGAGUAGUUUAUAUUACCUGCAAAGUAAAAAUAACUCAAACGAUGACGUGUUAGAUUCUGUUAGUAAUAAGUAAAGCAAAAUGAUAACGUAGGAAGUAAACACAUAGAGUUGUUUCUCAUCUCAUGCGAAUUGAUCCAUGAAAUAAUAAUGACUCGAGGAGUUCAAUGAACAAGAUUUUGCUCAAUGAUAUGAAUAGGUGGAAUUUGUCGAGAAGGUUCAACUCUUCUUCUUCCUUCAAGAAAGUGGAGGACAACAGAGCUUUUGGAGAUAUGGGUCGGGCUGAAAGACUGCCUACGUAUCUCGCAGAUGAGAAAUCAGGCCCUACGCAGUUCAAAACUAGAACAGUUUUUUUUAUUCUAAAGUCAACUUUCCUAAAAUGGUAGCGAUCAUUUUGAAAGUUUUAAGAAUGACUACGGACUUUUCUAAGAAAUUUAGGAGACUUGGAGUACUUUUAGUCAGACUUUUGUAUAGUAAGGUAUAUUUCUGCCUAGAGAUAUUCUAUGGAAAAUGGGAUUAGAUUAGUUCACCUUUGAUUCGAAUAAACAUAACACGUAUAAGCAUAUAAAUAGUUAUAUUACACAAGCAUAUUGUAAUAAUCGUGCAUCCUAAUUAGGUGACCCUUUUGAGCCAAGGAUUUGGGCCUAACAAAUUUUGAAGAAAAAAUAUAUGUUUGCUUAAGGUCAAUCCAUUAUCCCCAAACUUUUAUAGACACUAAAAGGGCAUAAAUGCCUACAAAAGAUGACGAAAGAGGGAAACAAUCUUUAGGGAAAGGGAAAUAACAUGAAAAAAGAUACGUUCCCACACGGGAUAAAAAAUACUAAUUCCUGAGUGCUACUUCUAUCAGUCUUCCCCUUCUUAGCUUCAUCCAUUUCUUAUAUUGGUGACAUACAUUGAUGUUCAAACUGUACCUUAAAUGCAACCUCCCAAAUAGUUCAAUUUUUUGCUUAACUUGCUUCAAUUCUUCUUACAAAAGUAAGCAAAUCAAGUUAUUUCCCAACUCCCAAAAGAUAAUGGGCUGAAAUAGACAAGCAUACAUUUUCUUCUACACAUAAAUAUGGUUCGUCUAUAAUUGACUCGGAGUCAAUAGACGCAGGGCAGGUUUUCUAAUGGGCCCAAUACCUCGCUUGGGUAUUGGAUCAUCUGUAACAACCCGUAUUCAAGUAAUAUAUUGGCGUAUUCAAGUACGUGUAUUGGUCUUAUUUAUAUGAAAUUAAUUUUAUUUUAUUUUAUUUAUACCGGAAUUUGCCCGUCGAUGGUUCCAUACGAAGGUUAUUGAAUAAGCUUUCCAACGAUAUAAAGAUUUCCAAAAACGAAUAGGUUUCGGAUAUAAUCGAGCACGUUCGAAACUAUAAAACGGUGGCCGGGAUAUUGGGAAUAGUAAAUGUGCAGGAAAAUUUCCUGCACACAAACUACUGAGGUCAGCCAUUUUUUUGGGUCAACUUUGAACGAUCAUAACUACCUUAAUAUAAUGAACUGGGAGAGCUUCCACCUAUGAAAAGAAAGAUCUUUGAGUCUUCUUUCCAAUGCAAUUGGUUUCAUCCAAAUCCGACAUCUGAGUAAUGAGUUAUACUCGUUUUACUUCAGCCUCUCAAAACAGAUUUUUAAGAUCAACUUCAAACAAUCAUAACUCCUUGUACAGGACGAACUGGGUGGCCUAAUUUAUAUGAAAUGAAAUCCCUUUGAAUUAUCUUUCCAACGAUACCAAUUUCACCCAAAUAUGAUAUCGGAGGAAAGAGUUAUGGUCGAUUUACUUUAGCCUAUCAAAACAGUCCACCAUGGACAGAUUCGGAUUUACUUAAAUUUUAAGGGCAAUAUGGUCAUUUUCCAUCACCUCAUGGACGAAAAUUGGUCAUUAUAUACAUAUACUUAGCCUCAUAUCCAUCAUUUAUCAUCCAAAUUAUUGAAGAAUAAGAAACCCUAGCCUAAGUUCAACUCCAAUUAUCUUGUGAUUCAACCGUAGAAAAUCCAAAUUGAUUCCGUAGUUGUGUUCACCGUCUCGAGGGCUUCGAGAAGCACCCCUUAUUUGUGCCAACAGGACUUCGAAAUCAAAAGGGCCAUUUUAUAGUAAGGAUGUCAAUUAUGUUGGUGUUAUUUAUAUGGAUAUGUAUAUAUAUAUAUAUAUGCAUGUGCGCAUAAGAAGUAUGUUAUUUGAUUGUUGUUGAAAGAUGAUUGAAAAUGAUGUUGGAUUAUUCUUGUGCAUAGUUGGAUUAUGUUGAAUUGUGAAGGAAUUUGGUGUGAUGAUAUGGUAUUGAAAUGAUGAUUAUAUAUAUAUAUAUACACCUAAACCGAUUGUUCAAGUUAAUUUUUGAAAUGCUUUGCAAAUAUUGAUUGUAUGGAAUUAUGGAAGAGAAUUGUGGUGUUGGGUUGCUAAUACUAGAUGCCAAACAUUUCAUUGUAGAUAAGUGAUUUAUAAAGGCGGGAAGUUGUGUUGAAUUAGUAUCCGAAUCUACAACGAGGUAUGUAAAGCAUACUCUAACGAUGUUCUUUGGCAUGAAAACACCAAUGUUCCAUCAAGUAAGAUUCCGAGGUUGUCCAAAAACAUGUAUUGUUCUACAUUACCAACGAAGUUGUUUCCAUUCUAUAAAGUGUCAAAAUGUUUCAUUGAUAUACCGAAAGGCUCCUAUUUCAUUGUUGUGAUAUUGAUGAUUCCGAAACACAUUGUUGAUGUACCAAUGAGUCUUUAUUACAUCGUUAUUGUAUAGAAAGUCUAUUACUUGGUUCCUAUUGAUGUAUCAUUAUUCCAAAGGUACUAUAUUGGCAUGAACACUAAUGUAAUAAUCUCAAAAGCUUUUGAACUAAGUUAUUGGAAAGAUCUCUUAUGUGUGUUACUUGAUAUACGUGUGGGUGGUAGCUCAGGGGCUUAAGCCUAGCAUGGGCCGAUCCCGAUAUUUGAUAUGAUUACAGUUGAUAUGUACUGGGGGCAGCCUAAUGGUCACAGUACGGUACAGUAUUGAUUAUUGUUAGGUGGUUGGAGGUUCGGGAGGAGGAGGUAAUGGCGAAUGAUAAUUGUAAAGAAUGAAAUGAACGAAUGUAUACCGUUCCACAAAUGUGUUUGAAUUCAAGAACCCAAUUCAGAUUAAUGAUAAGAUAAUGUACAUGAUCCUAAAAGUGUUUAUGAAGUGUGGUUCACUUCUAUUAUGAUUUAUUCACUUGCGUCUGAUUUUCUUGAUCCCCCAUACCACAUAUGAUUAUUUACAGCUUUACAUACUCAGUACAUAUUUCGUACUGACGUCCCUCACGGGGGACCUGCAUUUCAUGCUGCAGGCACAGGUGCUUCAGCUCAUUCACAGCAUAGAUAGGAGCCAGGUCAUACAUCUAUUGUUGGUGAGCUCCAAUUUGCUUCGGAGCUUUCCGAGUCGGUCCCUUAUGUUUUCUUAUUGUACAGGAGUCAUGUGUCGGCGAGGGUUUGUCCCGACCCUAAUUAUGUCAUGUAUAUCCUAGAGGCUUUGUAGACAUAAGAAAGGGUAAAGUCAUGGAAGUUCAUAUAGUGAUGUUAUAUUUUUAUAUGUGGUGGCCCCGACGGCCAAGUAUUAUAUACAUAUAUAUUUGUGCGUGUUGUGCUGAUACAGGUAAUUAGACCCUUCUAUAUGCAACGAAGUGCUGGCCAAAUUUUUGGUGACAUGAAAGUGAAAGUACAGGUAUUUAAACGGGUUCUCCCGGGCCUUCUCGGCUUCGGGUGCCAGUCCGGCCCNNNNNNNNNNNNNNNNNNNNNNNNNNNNNNNNNNNNNNNNNNNNNNNNNNNNNNNNNNNNUUGUGUGUGUUGUGCUGAUACAGGUAAUUAGACUCUUCUAUAUGCAACGAAGUGCUGUCCAAAUUUUUAGUGACAUGUAAGUGAAGGUACAGGUAUUUGAACGGAUUCUUCCGGGCCUUCUCGGCUUCGGGUGCCAGUCCGGCCCGAUAGGAUUUUGGGGCGUGACAUCAUCCUAGGCUUAUGCCUAAUAUAGGACUUUGGUUUCAUUCUAUCCUAAAUGUCUAGAGUAGGUUUGAACAUUGGUUCUCAAGCGGACAACUUGAGUUUGAAAAUACGAACAGCCAUUAGACGACUCAUGUGCUAAUAAGCCGUUCGCAUUUCCAACACAUUUUGAAAUUGAACAACGGGGGCCAGGACAUCCACGAAACCCCAAAACAGUUUAAAUAAUGCAGGAAUAUGCCAUGAGAUGCGAUAGUUAAACUUUACAGAAUCGAAACAUAUAAACACAUAAACAGUUAAUCAAAAGACGAAAUCAAACAUUUGGUUAGAACCUAGUUACAAAUCCCUAGCAGAGUCGUCAUUUCUGUUUUGUUGAGAAAUUUAGACUUUUUGAGAAGAGUCGCCACUUAAUUUUGAAGAAAAAUUAAAAAAACCUUUAUAGAAUUACUUCAAAUGAUUCAAAACAGAAAAAUCAUUUUAAAUUAGAAAUUCUAGAUAAGCGGCUCCUAUUAACGUUUUAAGAAGAUGUUAGGCAACUAAAAUGUCCGCAAACUUGCAGUUAUUCGGACUAUUUGAAAACAUCUUUUGAUUAACUUCCGAAAAGAUUAAUUUGUUGAAAUAGUGAUUUGAUUUAAAAAAAAAAGAUUUGUGUAAAAUAGAUUUAGGCGACUUAAUAGAGAUUUUAACUAAGUCUAAACAAAACUAAUAAACAAAUAAACACAUAAAAGGGGAAGUGAGGAGAAAGUAAAGGAUUUAGGCCAUUGAGCCCAAAUCAACUAGACCUAUCCUAGUCUAGUUGAGAUUCCGACCCAUUUCACCUGUCCUAAACUAUUUUUCGAGCCUUUGGCUCGAGUCUUGCUCCACCUAUAUUAAAUACAACUUUGGCUUCGAGACCGAAAUAAAUGAAUAAAUAAAUGACUAAAUGAAUGAAUAAAAAGAAGACUAAUAAAAAUUGAGACUUUUCAAGUCUCUUAAUGACCUUGUCAAUGGAUUUUGACCCAUUUUCCUUCUUCGUCUAUCUUCUAGCACCCGCAUGCCAUGUACUGAACCUCGGGUUUAAACUUCGAACUUGACUCGAAGGGGUAGACCUCAUUGGCCCAUUACGGAAAUGCAAAAUGAGAGGAAUCCAUUUGGACUCGAGACAUUUUUUUUUUGCAUGCAAAGAAAAGAUAAAGAAAUUAAUAUACGUUCAAGGCAUAAAAGUGACAUAUUUCAAAGCAAAAGAAAAUAUCAAGAACCAAUUUUGAAUGAUAAGCACACUUGCACAAAAAAAAGAGUCAACAAAUAAAAUGCAAAGCAAAGACACCCACUUACAUGCCUCAUGAUUUAUGUUCAUACAAGAAUGAAUAAAGGUAAAAGAAAGAAGGCCAUAUUCAAUAAAUUAAUGCAAGAAACAAACAACGUAAGCUUGCGAAAGUAAAAGGAUAAGGCAACGAGGAAAAUACUCAUGACUUCUAAAAUUGAACAAACAUAGAUACCAAUCCAUAUAACCAAAGAAAAUAAAGGUUAACUUUUCAAGCAAGAGAAUCUUUAAAUUUCAAUUAAGGUGACAUUAACGAAAAUUCAUACAUCUAAAUUCUUUUAUAUUAUGAAUCAAUGAGAGACACGAAUCAAGUCUUUACACUCACAAAGAGCACAUAUGAUAAUCCAAAGGGCGCAAGAAAAUUAGAAUAAAAUUUAGCAUUUCUAAAAGUGAAAUAUUGUUUCACAAUCAUAAAAUGCAUGACUCAAAAAUAUCUAAAUAAUUCUAUUUAGCCACAAAAAUUUGAACUUUCUCAUCAUNNN
RNAcentral lists this long non-coding RNA (31364 nucleotides) under Capsicum annuum. RNAcentral's name for it is "long non-coding RNA (CANN_LNC009383)". Lineage: Eukaryota; Viridiplantae; Streptophyta; Magnoliopsida; Solanales; Solanaceae. The record is from RNAcentral.